This is a non-coding RNA of Cinara cedri, 202 nucleotides long. NCBI's taxonomy places the organism in Eukaryota, Metazoa, Arthropoda, Insecta, Hemiptera, Aphididae. The record is from the annotation of a GenBank genome assembly.
GAUGUAUAAAACACAGCGGAAAUACGACCGCCCGUUACUAUUUGUCGGGGUGUCGAUUAUUACACUAUAAUAGCAUUGAAUAUUACAUUUUACAAGUAAAUCCGUGUUACCGCAGUCUAAUCGAAAUAUAUAAUAACGAAUGCGUAUGUACUUUAAUGUUUGAUACAAGCACCUGCAUACAGAGUAUUCAGAUUAAAUCGUC